UUUUAGAGUUUGAUCAUGGCUCAGGAUGAACGCUGGCGGCGUGCCUAAUACAUGCAAGUCGAGCGAACAGACGAGGAGCUUGCUCCUCUGACGUUAGCGGCGGACGGGUGAGUAACACGUGGAUAACCUACCUAUAAGACUGGGAUAACUUCGGGAAACCGGAGCUAAUACCGGAUAAUAUAUUGAACCGCAUGGUUCAAUAGUGAAAGACGGUUUUGCUGUCACUUAUAGAUGGAUCCGCGCCGCAUUAGCUAGUUGGUAAGGUAACGGCUUACCAAGGCAACGAUGCGUAGCCGACCUGAGAGGGUGAUCGGCCACACUGGAACUGAGACACGGUCCAGACUCCUACGGGAGGCAGCAGUAGGGAAUCUUCCGCAAUGGGCGAAAGCCUGACGGAGCAACGCCGCGUGAGUGAUGAAGGUCUUCGGAUCGUAAAACUCUGUUAUUAGGGAAGAACAAAUGUGUAAGUAACUAUGCACGUCUUGACGGUACCUAAUCAGAAAGCCACGGCUAACUACGUGCCAGCAGCCGCGGUAAUACGUAGGUGGCAAGCGUUAUCCGGAAUUAUUGGGCGUAAAGCGCGCGUAGGCGGUUUUUUAAGUCUGAUGUGAAAGCCCACGGCUCAACCGUGGAGGGUCAUUGGAAACUGGAAAACUUGAGUGCAGAAGAGGAAAGUGGAAUUCCAUGUGUAGCGGUGAAA
Molecule: ribosomal RNA, 700 nt
Filed under: Staphylococcus sp. TRC2
Lineage: Bacteria; Bacillati; Bacillota; Bacilli; Caryophanales; Staphylococcaceae
Description: bacterial SSU rRNA
Rfam family: Bacterial small subunit ribosomal RNA
Source: RNAcentral